GUGGGGUAGGCAGCAGGUACCAUUGACUAAAGCUAGUAUUAUAGGCUUGCCUCUAGCUUUGGUAGCUUUUGCUAAGUUCUCUGC
RNAcentral lists this microRNA precursor (84 nucleotides) under Mus pahari (shrew mouse). Its description in RNAcentral is "microRNA 3101 (MGP_PahariEiJ_G0006530.1)". Lineage: Eukaryota; Metazoa; Chordata; Mammalia; Rodentia; Muridae. The record is from RNAcentral.